AUGGCCAUGAAAAUACCAAGAAAGGACCUUUUCUCAAGUGACAUUGAUGUUUCUUCUAGACUGUGAUCAUAUCAUCAACAUACAGAAAUAUGACCAUGACCCCAUGAGAAAGACAGGACAUGGAAAGAUUAAAUGCAAUAAUACUGAAGCUAUCUACCACCAACCUUCUAGACUGGAUAUCCCAAGACAGGCAUUAGGAGCCAC
RNAcentral lists this long non-coding RNA (204 nucleotides) under Elaeis guineensis (African oil palm). Its description in RNAcentral is "long non-coding RNA (EGUI_LNC042587)". The record is from RNAcentral. Lineage: Eukaryota; Viridiplantae; Streptophyta; Magnoliopsida; Arecales; Arecaceae.